UCCCGUUAACGGGAUCCCAGCCAUAAGAAACUGAGAAAUUGUAUGACCAUAAACAGCAGAUUAUCUUAUGAGCCACAAKUCUGCAUGCCUUGUAUAAUGUUAUAACUGCAUGACAACAAAUGCUUUAGAAAUGAGUUGCUUGCUUUGUACUCUCUUUGUUUAUAGUCAUGUAAUAUAUCUGAAUUUACAGUCUGUCUAAACACCCCUUUUUAUUCAGACGGUAACAAGAGGAGGUAUCAGAUUCUGAGAAAUUGUAGAGGACAAGGCAGCCUUGACAGCUGACAUUGUUCAACUUCACAAGCAGCAGGCAGAGUUUAGGCUCCCCACAGUGGCUGCUCAAUACUGACAACUUUGUGGCCAUGGGAGAGACUUGGCACCAGCAAUCUGGGCAGACUGAUGUUGGUGGACAGACUGCAGGAGGAAGAGAGGAUCCUGGUGCAGGAGAUGAAGAAGCACUGGGGGAGCCUACAAAGAGCAGCAGGAACUCUAGAGGCACUGUCCCUACAGCUGCAAUAUCAGAGCAAUGCAGUGGAGAUGUCGGAGGGAGGGAGGAAUGGCCUUCUCUGCCUCCUGAAGAGAAGAUUGAAUGAACUGACACAAGACACCAGGAACACCUACCACAAGCUGAUUCUGGGAGAAAGGGCUAUUUUUGAUGACUCUGAUGUAGAUUAAAACUCAGAUGAAGAUAGAAGUCCUAUUGCUGAGAGCUCAGAUGACAACUGCUAUGCUUUCUGAAAUCAUACACCACCCCUACCUCUUUCUCUCUGUCUCGCUCUCUCCCGCAGGAGGGAGAAAGCAGCCACCACCUCCCUCGGGAGCAGCCUGGUCUUCCGACGUUGACCCCUGACCCCUCACCUUCUGAACCCAUCCAGGGGAAUGUCAUUUGCCUGAUGAUGUGCUAGUGGAGAAGGAAUGUGUCAUUUCAGUGCAUUUGUUGCCAUAGUCCCUCACCUCCUCGACUCCGUUUCUUCCGGUCCUAGAGGAUGGCGACAUCAUUAGCAACUCAGAAUGUUGGUUGAGGACCUCUUUACUGAGGAAUGUGGUUGUUCUUCAUGAUUGUUUUAUAUAAAAUAUAUUGGAGUAUUUUCUA
Molecule: long non-coding RNA, 1090 nt
Organism: Salvelinus sp. IW2-2015
Lineage: Eukaryota; Metazoa; Chordata; Actinopteri; Salmoniformes; Salmonidae
Source: RefSeq, a predicted model, not a curated record